Molecule: long non-coding RNA, 1426 nt
Organism: Syngnathoides biaculeatus (alligator pipefish)
Lineage: Eukaryota; Metazoa; Chordata; Actinopteri; Syngnathiformes; Syngnathidae
Exons: 2
Source: RefSeq, a predicted model, not a curated record
GGUUAGGGUUAGGGUUAGGGUUAGGGUUAGGGGUUGGGUUAGGGUUAGGCAGUGGAGGUUGAACCCUCCCUCUCCCCUGGUAGGCAUUGGGCCCGCCAUUGAAGCGGAAGGGAGGUGCACCGGCCCUCCGAUCGAAGUGCCUCCCUCCUCCGAAAUUCCACCUCCUCGUUCCACGUCUUUCCUCCUGGCGUGGCGGUCUCCAGUACAUUUUUGUUGUCAAAAACGAGCGCCAGGCCAAUGUUUGUUUUUUUCAAAAAAUUAUAAUUGUUUUCAGUUAAAUAUACAAAAUGAAACAAAAACAGUCCAAAACUAAAAAGGUGUGUGCUCGAUCGCGACGUUUCGGUCCAAUAGGACCUUUUUCAAGCUGAGAGCACAAUUGAAAUGAAAGAAAAGAAAAAACAGUGGAAAAACAAAAAGCAGAGUGGAGCACAGUAAUACUCAAAAGAAAAGGCAACUCACAAAACUCGGCAAGGAUUGUCCAUGUGUGGAAAAGAAAUAGUCCAUUUGUGUAGAAAAAAAAGUUUUUUUGUAGUCCUGUUCACCGAGUGAUGUGUCCUGGUCGCCAGCUCCCUCCAAAAUGUCACUUCCUUUGUGUAGGGUGCAUCAACUUCCCGCCGGUUCAUCUCUCUCUCUCUGUGUGUGUGCGCUUGAGCCGUCAUGUAGAAAAAAAGUUGUUGUCCGAGCAACGAAGAGGUCCCUCGAACGGUGAGUAGAUGGCACCAUCUUGUGGAUGUUUUUUGUCAUCACAUCAAGUCCAAAAAAUAACAAUGUUUACAGUAGAAGAUAUUUGUAGGAACAUUUAACACAUUUGAACAAUUUCUUACACAUUACAACCAUUACUUAUACCUUACAACAAUUUCUUGAACAUUCAAACAGUUUUUAUACAUAAACAUUUCCAACAGUUUUUUAGAAAAAAAAUCUUUGUAUACAUAGACAUGGAUUGUUUUUAUCAAACAUUUUGUACAAAGUGCAUUAUUUCCUUCAUAAAUAAAUAAAAUACAUCAUACAGAACAAUUCAGUCAGUAUUUCUUUACAGACAUUGUGUUGUUUCUUCCGCGUAUCCGACCAAAGUCAAUCUACGUCAAUAGUAAGUCAAAGGCAGGUUCAGUGAGAAGUCCAUUUUGUUGAUGAUAUAUUUUUUAUGAAUGUAUGUGUUUGUUUAUUGAGUGACCUUUUAGGGUUUCCAGACCUGGUUUGGGUUGAACAAAGGAUGGAUGGGUGACUUUUAAGUUUAGGGAAGGGUCUGGGGAGAGGAAUAGUCUACGUAUACAAACUAAAAUAGGGUAGGAAACCUAGGGUUAGAGGGUUAAGGGUCAGGGGAUAGUCUAAGUAAGAAUGAAGAUGGGGUGGGAAACCUAGGGUUAGCGGGUUCGGGGUGGGGCGAUAGCAAAAUAAAUAAAUAAAUAAAUAGAAAAAUAAAUAAAAA